Molecule: non-coding RNA, 24 nt
Filed under: Arabidopsis thaliana (thale cress)
Lineage: Eukaryota; Viridiplantae; Streptophyta; Magnoliopsida; Brassicales; Brassicaceae
Source: RNAcentral
UGAGAUGAAUGACUUCUGGGGAAC